This 870-nucleotide ribosomal RNA is filed under the name Malacosporea sp. 1 HH-2014. RNAcentral describes it as "eukaryotic LSU rRNA". It matches the Rfam family "Eukaryotic large subunit ribosomal RNA", at positions 921 to 1734 of the family's 3401-position model. The record is from RNAcentral. Lineage: Eukaryota; Metazoa; Cnidaria; Myxozoa.
GGGCGAUAGACCAAUCGAACCAUCUAGUAGCUGGUUCCCUCCGAAAUAUCCCUCAGGAUCGCGGACACUCCUCACAGUUUCAUCACGUAGGGAGAAUGAUUGGAGGUUUCGGGGACGCGGCGUCCUCGACCUACUCUCAAACUUCAAAGUGGUGAGAUAAAUAUGCUACGGGCGUUUGGGUUGAGCAUAUUGGGGAAUGUGUGAGAGUGUCCAGUGGGCCAUUUUUGGUAAGCAGAACUGGCGAUCCGGGAUGAACCGAGAGUCGAGUUAAGGUGCCAAAGUGAGAUGUAAUUGAAUCCACUAAAGGUGUCGGUCAAUGUAGACAGCAGGGCGGUGGCCAUGGAAGUCGGCAUCCGCUAAGGAGUGUGUAUCAACUCACCUGCCCAAUUGACCGGUCCUGAAAAUGGAUGGCGCUUAAUUUUUCGACCGAUACUCGGCCGUCAAAUCUGACCAAUUUGACGGGUAGGGGGGCACAACGGUUGCUGAGAAGAGUUAACGUGAGUUGACUUGGAGCGGCCGUUGGAGCUGAUCUUGGUGGUAGUAGCAACUAUUCGGGUGGGAACCUCGAAGUCCGAGGUGGAGACGGGUUCCAUGCCGAUUGCAGUAAGGCAUGGGUUAGUCGAUCCUAAGUGACUCCCGAAGGGGUUAAAUGACAGGCAUCGGGUUGACUGUUAGUCACGAAAGGGAACCAGGUUAAUAUUCCUGGACCAAGUCAAGGGACUUUGGCGAUUGAUUUGCAGAGUGUUCGCGCACUUUGUAAUAUUGGUCGUCAAUUAGCGGUAACGCGUGCGAACCGGGGUACGUCGGAAGUAGCCAGAGGAAGAGUUAUCUUUUCUUCAUAACGAACUAUUGACCAUGGAAACGAGUUAG